AGGGAUGUAGCUCAGUGGUAGAGUACUUGCCUAGCAAGCAAGAGCCCCAGGGUUCGAUCCCCAGCAAUACAA
RNAcentral lists this transfer RNA (72 nucleotides) under Marmota marmota marmota (Alpine marmot). It matches the Rfam family "tRNA". Rfam says of the family: Transfer RNA (tRNA) molecules are approximately 80 nucleotides in length. The record is from Rfam by way of RNAcentral. RNAcentral also lists the same sequence under 1 other name. Lineage: Eukaryota; Metazoa; Chordata; Mammalia; Rodentia; Sciuridae.